Molecule: ribosomal RNA, 164 nt
Filed under: Platanus occidentalis var. occidentalis
Lineage: Eukaryota; Viridiplantae; Streptophyta; Magnoliopsida; Proteales; Platanaceae
Description: 5.8S ribosomal RNA
Rfam family: 5.8S ribosomal RNA
About the family: 5.8S ribosomal RNA (5.8S rRNA) is a component of the large subunit of the eukaryotic ribosome. It is transcribed by RNA polymerase I as part of the 45S precursor that also contains 18S and 28S rRNA.
Source: RNAcentral
AAAACGACUCUCGGCAACGGAUAUCUCGGCUCUCGCAUCGAUGAAGAACGUAGCGAAAUGCGAUACUUGGUGUGAAUUGCAGAAUCCCGUGAACCAUCGAGUCUUUGAACGUAAGUUACGCCCUAGGCCAUUAGGCUAAGGGCACGCCUACCUGGGCGUCAUGC